Molecule: ribosomal RNA, 295 nt
Filed under: bacterium enrichment culture
Lineage: Bacteria
Description: partial 16S ribosomal RNA
Rfam family: Bacterial small subunit ribosomal RNA
Source: RNAcentral
GAACGGCAGCACAGGAGAGCUUGCUCUCUGGGUGGCGAGUGGCGGACGGGUGAGGAAUACAUCGGAAUCUACCUUUUCGUGGGGGAUAACGUAGGGAAACUUACGCUAAUACCGCAUACGACCUACGGGUGAAAGUGGGGGACCGCAAGGCCUCACGCGAUUAGAUGAGCCGAUGUCCGAUUAGCUAGUUGGCGGGGUAAUGGCCCACCAAGGCGACGAUCGGUAGCUGGUCUGAGAGGAUGAUCAGCCACACUGGAACUGAGACACGGUCCAGACUCCUACGGGAGGCAGCAGU